AUUGAACGCUGGCGGCAGGCCUAACACAUGCAAGUCGAACGGUAGCACAGAGAGCUUGCUCUCGGGUGACGAGUGGCGGACGGGUGAGUAACGUCUGGGAAACUGCCCGAUGGAGGGGGAUAACUACUGGAAACGGUAGCUAAUACCGCAUAACGUCGCAAGACCAAAGUGGGGGACCUUCGGGCCUCACACCAUCGGAUGUGCCCAGAUGGGAUUAGCUAGUAGGUGGGGUAAUGGCUCACCUAGGCGACGAUCCCUAGCUGGUCUGAGAGGAUGCACAGCCACACUGGAACUGAGACACGGUCCAGACUCCUACGAGAGGCAGCAGUGGGGAAUAUUGCACAAUGGGCGCAAGCCUGAUGCAGCCAUGCCGCGUGUAUGAAGAAGGCCUUCGGGUUGUAAAGUACUUUCAGCGGGGAGGAAGGCGGUGAAGUUAAUAGCUUCACCGAUUGACGUUACCCGCAGAAGAAGCACCGGCUAACUCCGUGCCAGCCGCCGCGGUAA
This 504-nucleotide ribosomal RNA is filed under the name uncultured bacterium. RNAcentral's name for it is "partial 16S ribosomal RNA". It matches the Rfam family "Bacterial small subunit ribosomal RNA", at positions 30 to 523 of the family's 1533-position model. The record is from RNAcentral.